GCUGGGCAUGGUGGUGUGUGCCUGUAAUCCCAGCUACUGGGGAGGCUGAGGCAGGAGAAUCCCUUGAACCCAGGAGGUGGAGGUUGUAGUAAGCUGAAGUCACACCACUGCACUCCAGCCUGGGUGACAGAGUGAGACCCUGUCUCAA
Molecule: small RNA, 148 nt
Filed under: Macaca mulatta (Rhesus monkey)
Lineage: Eukaryota; Metazoa; Chordata; Mammalia; Primates; Cercopithecidae
Description: Metazoan signal recognition particle RNA (ENSMMUG00000054349.1)
Source: Rfam by way of RNAcentral